This 254-nucleotide ribosomal RNA is filed under the name uncultured bacterium. RNAcentral describes it as "partial 16S ribosomal RNA". It matches the Rfam family "Bacterial small subunit ribosomal RNA", at positions 524 to 776 of the family's 1533-position model. The record is from RNAcentral.
CACGUAGGGGGCAAGCGUUGUCCGGAUUUAUUGGGCGUAAAGAGCUCGUAGGCGGUUCGGUAAGUCGGGUGUGAAACCUCCAGGCUCAACCUGGAGAGGCCACCUGAUACUGCUGUGACUGGAGUCCGGUAGGGGAGCGUGGAAUUCCUGGUGUAGCGGUGAAAUGCGCAGAUAUCAGGAGGAACACCAGCGGCGAAGGCGGCGCUCUGGGCCGGAACUGACGCUGAGGAGCGAAAGCGUGGGUAGCAAACAGG